GACGAACGCUGGCGGCAUGCCUAACACAUGCAAGUCGAACGGUAAGGCCCUCUGCUUGUGGAGUGCUCGAGUGUGGAACGCGUGUGUGACACGUGUGUAACCUGCCCUUGACUUUGGGGUAUCUUCUUGAAACAGGGGCUAAUAUCCCAUAUGAGUUCUUGCUCCAUGGUGUGGUUGGGAGAGUUUCGGCUGUUGUGGCUGUACUGGCGGGUUAUCCGCUUGUUGGUGGGGUAGUGGCUUACAAAGGCUACGACGGGUAGCCGGCCUGAGCGGGUGACCGGCGACAUUGGGACUGAGAGAGGGCGCAGACUCCUACGGGAGGCAGCAGUGGGGAAUAUUGCACAGUGGGCGGAAGCCUGAGGCAGCGACGCCGCGAGCGGAAUGACGUCCUUCGGGUUGUAAACAGCUUUAGCCUGUGACGAAGCGUGAGUGACGGUAAUGGGUAAAGAAGCACCGGCUAACUACGUG
RNAcentral lists this ribosomal RNA (468 nucleotides) under uncultured bacterium. Its description in RNAcentral is "partial 16S ribosomal RNA". It matches the Rfam family "Bacterial small subunit ribosomal RNA", at positions 28 to 507 of the family's 1533-position model. The record is from RNAcentral.